CCUGGUGGCCCUUGCGGAGGGCCCCCACCCGAUCCCAUCCCGAACUCGGCCGUGAAACCCCCCAGCGCCAAUGGUACUGCGACAAAAGUCGCGGGAGAGUAGGUCGCCGCCAGGC
This 115-nucleotide ribosomal RNA is filed under the name Stappia sediminis. The record is from RNAcentral. Lineage: Bacteria; Pseudomonadati; Pseudomonadota; Alphaproteobacteria; Hyphomicrobiales; Stappiaceae.